RNAcentral lists this ribosomal RNA (253 nucleotides) under uncultured bacterium. RNAcentral's name for it is "partial 16S ribosomal RNA". It matches the Rfam family "Bacterial small subunit ribosomal RNA", at positions 524 to 776 of the family's 1533-position model. The record is from RNAcentral.
UACGUAGGGGGCAAGCGUUGUCCGGAUUUAUUGGGCGUAAAGAGCGUGUAGGCGGCUUGACAGGUCUGCUGUGAAAACUCGAGGCUCAACCUCGAGAUGUCGGCGGAAACCGUCUGGCUAGAGUCCGGAAGAGGAGAGUGGAAUUCCUGGUGUAGCGGUGAAAUGCGCAGAUAUCAGGAAGAACACCUGUGGCGAAAGCGGCUCACUGGACCACAACUGACGCUGAGGCGCGAAAGCUAGGGGAGCAAACAGG